CAUGGCGGCGUGCUUACCAUGCAAGUCGAACGGAGAUUCAGCAAUGGAUCUUAGUGGCGAACGGGUGAGUAACGCGUAGGCAAUCUGCCUUCUAGAUGGGGACAACAUCCCGAAAGGGGUGCUAAUACCGAAUGUUGUACCGUUUCCGCAUGGAGAUGAUACUAAAGGUGGCCUCUGAAUAUGCUACCGCUAGAAGAUGAGCCUGCGUCUGAUUAGCUAGUUGGAGGGGUAACGGCCCACCAAGGCUUCGAUCAGUAGCCGGUCUGAGAGGAUGAACGGCCACACUGGGACUGAGACACGGCCCAGACUCCUACGGGAGGCAGCAGUGGGGAAUCUUCCGCAAUGGACGAAAGUCUGACGGAGCAACGCCGCGUGAGUGAAGAAGGUUUUCGGAUCGUAAAGCUCUUUCGUUAGGGACGAACGUGCUCUUUGUGAAUAAUGAGGAGUAAUGACGGUACCUAAAUAAGAAGCCACGGCUAACUACGUGCCAGCAGCCGCGGUAAUACGUAGGUGGCAAGCGUUGUCCGGAAUUAUUGGGCGUAAAGCGCGCGCAGGCGGGAUAUCAAGUCUGUCUUAAAAGUGCGAGGCUCAACCUCGUGAGGGGACGGAAACUGGUAUUCUUGAGUGUCGGAGAGGAAAGUGGAAUUCCAAGUGUAGCGGUGAAAUGCGUAGAGAUUUGGAAGAACACCAGUGGCGAAGGCGACUUUCUGGACGAUGUCUGACGCUGAGGCGCGAAAGCUAGGGGAGCGAACGGGAUUAGAUACCCCGGUAGUCCUAGCCGUAAACGAUGGGUACUAGUGUAGGGGUAUCGACCCCUCUG
This 820-nucleotide ribosomal RNA is filed under the name uncultured Anaerovibrio sp. RNAcentral describes it as "bacterial SSU rRNA". It matches the Rfam family "Bacterial small subunit ribosomal RNA", at positions 36 to 843 of the family's 1533-position model. The record is from RNAcentral. Lineage: Bacteria; Bacillati; Bacillota; Negativicutes; Selenomonadales; Selenomonadaceae.